RNAcentral lists this ribosomal RNA (460 nucleotides) under uncultured bacterium. RNAcentral describes it as "partial 16S ribosomal RNA". It matches the Rfam family "Bacterial small subunit ribosomal RNA", at positions 338 to 795 of the family's 1533-position model. The record is from RNAcentral.
CCUACGGGAGGCAGCAGUGAGGAAUAUUGGUCAAUGGACGAGAGUCUGAACCAGCCAAGUAGCGUGAAGGAUGACUGCCCUAUGGGUUGUAAACUUCUUUUAUAUGGGAAUAAAAUGUUCCACGUGUGGGAUUUUGUAUGUACCAUAUGAAUAAGGAUCGGCUAACUCCGUGCCAGCAGCCGCGGUAAUACGGAGGAUCCGAGCGUUAUCCGGAUUUAUUGGGUUUAAAGGGAGCGUAGGUGGAUUGUUAAGUCAGUUGUGAAAGUUUGCGGCGCAACCGUAAAAUUGCAGUUGAAACUGGCAGUCGUGAGUACAGUAGAGGUGGGCGGAAUUCGUGGUGUAGCGGUGAAAUGCUUAGAUAUCACGAAGAACUCCGAUUGCGAAGGCAGCUCACUGGACUGCAACUGACACUGAGGCUCGAAAGUGUGGGUAUCAAACAGGAUUAGAUACCCCUGUAGUC